GUAUUUUUAGAACCUACUACCACUGUGCACGGUACACAGCAGGUGACUUACAUCUGCGUGCUGAAGUGGUAAGUGGAUGGAAGGAAAGAACAUGAAUGGACAGAUGAAUGGAAGAAAGGAAACAUUGGAUGAAGAAAGGAGAGAGCCAACCGUGACAUAGCAGGGCCUAAGGAGCAGCAGGAAGUGUUUCGUGUUGACAUUUCUACUGGAGUCAUAACCAGCAGCAGAGGGCUCCUCAUUCACACCCACAGCUCCACAAAGAGAGACAGCAAAGGAGACACAGAGGCAGGGGAGCAACCCACCGGAACAGGAAGUCAGAGAAGAAGCCAUGCAGCUAUAGCCCAAGAAUGCCCGGGGCCACCAGAAGCUGGAAGAGGUAAGAGAGGAUUCUCCACUUUGGAAGGAGCACAGCUCUGCUAACACAGUGAGUUCAGACGUGUGGUCUCCAGAACCGUGAAAGAAAAAAUUUCUGCUGUUUUGAGCCGUCCAGUUUGCGGUUACUUGAUGCAGCAACCCUAGAAAGCUCAUACAGAUACUUCCUGGAAAUUGACCUAAAUGAAAACACUCUUUCUUCCUCCCCCAUUUCAUUUGGUGAUAAAGUGUCUGUCUAAAGGAAAUGGAAAUUAUCCAAGUAAAAUGAUAAUUGUGAUCAAAUCUCUUCUUCCUCCAAG
RNAcentral lists this long non-coding RNA (671 nucleotides) under Mustela putorius furo (domestic ferret). RNAcentral's name for it is "lncRNA (ENSMPUG00000030027.1)". The record is from RNAcentral. Lineage: Eukaryota; Metazoa; Chordata; Mammalia; Carnivora; Mustelidae.